Cyprinus carpio carpio is the source of this 1039-nucleotide long non-coding RNA. The record is from Ensembl. NCBI's taxonomy places the organism in Eukaryota, Metazoa, Chordata, Actinopteri, Cypriniformes, Cyprinidae.
GAUCAGGAAAGGACCUCUGGCCAGAGCCUAAACUCAGGAGUGCCAAGGCUUUUGCUCAGACAAUAUGGACAAUAUGGAAAUACUCCAGGCAAAGAGGCUGCAGCACCCCCAGAGGCGGCUGACAAAGCUGCUGCGCCCCCAGAGGUGGCCGACGACGCUGCAGUGCCCUGCUCUUGAAGAUGGAGGAGGGGGAAGAAUGGGUCCGCCUCGCCACCCCUAGAGGUGGCCAAAGAGGCUGCAGUGCCUCCAGUGGUGGCCGACGAAGCUGCAGCGCCUCCGGUGGUGGCCGAAGAGGCUGCAGUGCCACACUCUCGGAAACGGAGAAGGAAGAGAAGGAGGAGGAAGACUUCUUCUGUCCUUCAAGGCCUAGAGGCCGUCCCAGAGACUGGUGCCAUCCCAGAGCCGCCCAAGCUUCUUGCCCUGCCGGCACCACCCAAGCUCCUUGCCCUGCCGGCACCACCCAAGCUCUUAGCCCUGCCAGAGCCACCCUAGCUCCUUGCCCUGCCAGCUCCACCCAAGCUCCUUGCUCUGUCGACGCUGCCCAAGCUCCUUGCCCUGAUGCCAGCUCCGCCCUUGAUGAGUGCCCUGCCGGCUCCGCCCAAGCUCCUUGCUCUGCCGGCUCCCUCCUUGAUACGGGCUCCACCCUUCCUGCCUAUCAAGCUCCCAGCUCCACCCUGGCCCCCUGUCAGGACUCCAGAAGUGCUGGAGUCUGCCUGGUCUGUCCCUCGGUCCCAACCCUGGCUGGGGUUCCUGUUCAGCCAGAGUCUCCCUGGUUUGUCCCUCCAGCUCCGCCCUGGCCCCCUGCCGGGACUCCUGGACUGUCUGAGCCUCCCUGGCUCAACCCUCCCGCCCCUCCCUGGACCCUUGUAAAGACUUCCUGGGCUGUUCCUUUGGCACAGGCUUGGUUCCCCUCCCUCCCCUCUUUGUCUCUGUGAUUUGAUAUUCCUGUCUUGUGUUGUCUGUUGUUGUGUGGCGGUCUUGUUUUGUCAUGUUUGUGUUGGUCUUGUGUUGUCAUGUUAUGUUCUUGUCUUGUUUUUGG